Molecule: ribosomal RNA, 829 nt
Filed under: uncultured archaeon
Lineage: Archaea
Description: bacterial SSU rRNA
Rfam family: Archaeal small subunit ribosomal RNA
Source: RNAcentral
UGAUUAAGCCAUGCAAGUCGAGAGGUGUAAGACCUCGGCGUACUGCUCAGUAACACGUGGACAAUCUGCCCUGAAGUGGAGGAUAAUCCCGGGAAACUGGGGGUAAUACUCCAUAGUUCGUGCUGACUGGAAUGUUAUGCGAACGAAAGAUCCGUCGCUUCAGGAUGAGUCUGCGGCCGAUUAGGUAGUUGUUGGGGUAACGGCCCAACAAGCCUGUCAUCGGUACGGGUUGUGGGAGCAAGAGCCCGGAGAUGGAUUCUGAGACACGAAUCCAGGCCCUACGGGGCGCAGCAGGCGCGAAAACUUUACCAUGCGGGCAACCGUGAUAAGGAAACCCCGAGUGCCAGCACAGGCUGGCUGUCCGCCAGUGUAAAUAACUGGUGAAGAAAGGGCCGGGCAAGACCGGUGCCAGCCGCCGCGGUAAUACCGGCGGCUCGAGUGGUGGCCACUAUUACUGGGCUUAAAGGGUCCGUAGCUUGAUAUGCAAGUCUCUUGAGAAAUCCGCCAGCUUAACUGGUGGGCGUUCAGGGGAAACUGCAUUUCUAGGGACCGGGAGAGGUGAGAGGUACUGCCGGGGUAGGAGUGAAAUCCUGUAAUCCCGGUGGGACCACCUAUGGCGAAGGCAUCUCACCAGAACGGGUCCGACAGUGAGGGACGAAAGCUGGGGGAGCAAACCGGAUUAGAUACCCGGGUAGUCCCAGCUGUAAACGAUGCGCGUUAGGUGUGUCAGUGACCACGUGUCACUGAGGUGCCGAAGGGAAACCGUGAAACGCGCCGCCUGGGGAGUACGGUCGCAAGGCUGAAACUUAAAGGAAUUGGCGGGGGAGCA